Molecule: unclassified non-coding RNA, 336 nt
Filed under: soil metagenome
Description: partial contains 5.8S ribosomal RNA, internal transcribed spacer 2, and large subunit ribosomal RNA
Rfam family: 5.8S ribosomal RNA (bases 1-120)
Source: RNAcentral
GAUGAAGAACGCAGCGAAAUGCGAUAAGUAAUGUGAAUUGCAGAAUUCAGUGAAUCAUCGAAUCUUUGAACGCACAUUGCGCCCGCCAGUAUUCUGGCGGGCAUGCCUGUUCGAGCGUCAUUUCAACCAUCAAGCCCCAGGCUUGUGUUGGGGACCUGCGGCUGCCGCAGGCCCUGAAAACCAGUGGCGGGCUCGCUGUCACACCGGGCGUCGUAGAUUUUAUCUCGCUCAGGGCGUGCUGCGGGUUCCGGCCGUUAAAAAGCCUUUUUUACCCAAGGUUGACCUCGGAUCAGGUAGGAAGACCCGCUGAACUUAAGCAUAUCAAUAAGCGGAGGA